RNAcentral lists this ribosomal RNA (253 nucleotides) under uncultured bacterium. RNAcentral's name for it is "partial 16S ribosomal RNA". It matches the Rfam family "Bacterial small subunit ribosomal RNA", at positions 524 to 776 of the family's 1533-position model. The record is from RNAcentral.
GACGUAGGGUGCAAGCGUUGUCCGGAUUUAUUGGGCGUAAAGAGUUCGUAGGCGGUUUUCUAAGUCUGGUGUUAAAUACCGGGGCUCAACCCCGGCAAGGCAUCGGAUACUGGAAGACUAGAGUGCGGUAGAGGUCAAGGGAAUUCCCGGUGUAGCGGUGAAAUGCGUAGAUAGCGGGAGGAACACCAGUGGCGAAAGCGCUUGGCUGGGCCGUAACUGACGCUGAGGAACGAAAGCCAGGGGAGCAAAAGGG